Penaeus chinensis is the source of this 510-nucleotide long non-coding RNA. RefSeq lists it as uncharacterized. NCBI's taxonomy places the organism in Eukaryota, Metazoa, Arthropoda, Malacostraca, Decapoda, Penaeidae. The transcript is spliced from 2 exons. The record is from RefSeq and is a predicted model, not a curated record.
CUUCACGUGCAUGUCUCAGCCCCUACUCGUCUUGCACGCACCGAGGUUGUUAUUGCAGAGAAUCAUUGCUCACAUUUUAGACUUCAUUAAACUUCUUACAUGGACAAGUUAGCUGUCCCGGUCCUGUGCCACGGGCGCUGUCCUCCACUGGCAGCCGCAACCUGCGUUCAAGAUUCUGCGAGAUUCGCCGACAUCUUCACAGGGAAAAAUUAGUUACUGAAGUGGUUCUUGACACUCAGCCUCUCCGUGCCUCCACUCACGCCUCCUUGACGGCCCUUAGAACCUGUUCUCGGCCGUCACGUGACCACUCAACCAUCUUGAAAAGGCUUCUUGAGAACAUUUCUUUUCUGGGGAUCAUUUUUUUUUUCAGAAAAAAAACACGAUCAUUUCCGCAGAUGCUGAAGAUAGUGUCUCUAGUGAAUGUGUCUGUAUUCUGCAGUUGUUAUUUAACUGGAUCAAAUAUGAUAAUUAUCAAACGAUCGUUAUAAUCCAUUAAAUUGUGAAACCCAA